Molecule: long non-coding RNA, 901 nt
Filed under: Pogona vitticeps (central bearded dragon)
Lineage: Eukaryota; Metazoa; Chordata; Lepidosauria; Squamata; Agamidae
Description: lncRNA (ENSPVIG00000002233.1)
Source: RNAcentral
CUGGAAUUAUUACUCCAGAAGGUUAUUUUAAUGUAACUCCUUAGGCCUCAGGCCUUAUUAAAGGCAAAUUUGCACAUCAUGUACACAGUAAAUCCCUCAAGGAUAAUUGUAUUUUUAAAUAUAUCUGUUGAAUUUAAGUGGAUGUUAGAUAACAUAAAUGUAUUUUGAUGGGCUCUUUAAUCAUUGAUAAACUGACGUUUCUCUUCCUCCCCGUUUUCCUCUCUUUUUCUCCCUUUCUAACUCUAAGAAAGAGAGAGAUCGAGUCCUGGCUUUAUUAGAGAUUGACCAUUCUUUAAAUUUUGAGAAGGGGGUUUCACAGACUUUUUAAAUAAAUGGAAUUUUAAUUGGCUUCAUUGUUAAGAUAUGGACUCAGGGACAGGACUUGUAUUUUUAAAAAGAAUUUAAGGAGUCCUUUUGGGUCUUUUUAAGGAGAAAGGUGUGGUAAACAUAUUUUAAAUAAACUGAUUAAAUUGUGCCAAAAAGAAAAGCUGAUUUUGUUUCUAAAGGAAUUCAGGGGAAAACUGAGUAAUGCUAUGCAAAAGUGAGGCAUAGGGUUCAUCCACACGAGGUAUGUAGCUUGGAUAGAAGAGUGCUCUCUUUCCCCCAUAGAUCUGGCACCACUCAUGGCAAGCUUCUGUACUUGUUUUAAUUUUUUCUUGAAUGUAAUCUGGAUUCUUCUAAUUUGAAUUUCUGCAUUCUAAAACAUCUCCUGUCUUCCUCCUCUCACCUCUCUCUCUCUCCUUCCCUCUCACACACCUCUCCAUUCUCUGCCCCAUCUCCACCUCUUGUCUCUUUCCUUCCCACAGAGGGAGGCAGAGACAUAUGGACAGUGGGAAUCAUCGUGAUGACUAAUCUUCAGCCGUUUCAAAUCUUGCAUACAAGAUGCAUUUUGUCACUUUAA